Molecule: ribosomal RNA, 483 nt
Filed under: uncultured bacterium
Lineage: Bacteria
Description: partial 16S ribosomal RNA
Rfam family: Bacterial small subunit ribosomal RNA
Source: RNAcentral
UUGAACGCUGGCGGCAUGCUUUACACAUGCAAGUCGCACGGCAGCGCGGGCUUCGGCCUGGCGGCGAGUGGCGAACGGGUGAGUAAUGCAUCGGAACGUGCCCAGUAGUGGGGGAUAGCCCGGCGAAAGCCGGAUUAAUACCGCAUACGACCUGAGGGUGCAAGCGGGGGACCGAAAGGCCUCGCGCUAUUGGAGCGGCCGAUGUCGGAUUAGCUAGUUGGUGGGGUAAAGGCUUACCAAGGCGACGAUCCGUAGCUGGUCUGAGAGGACGACCAGCCACACUGGGACUGAGACACGGCCCAGACUCCUACGGGAGGCAGCAGUGGGGAAUUUUGGACAAUGGGGGCAACCCUGAUCCAGCCAUGCCGCGUGCGGGAAGAAGGCCUUCGGGUUGUAAACCGCUUUUGUUCGGGAAGAAAUCCUCUGGGCUAAUACCCCGGGGGGAUGACGGUACCGGAAGAAUAAGCACCGGCUAACUACGUG